RNAcentral lists this ribosomal RNA (492 nucleotides) under uncultured bacterium. RNAcentral describes it as "partial 16S ribosomal RNA". It matches the Rfam family "Bacterial small subunit ribosomal RNA", at positions 29 to 507 of the family's 1533-position model. The record is from RNAcentral.
AGUGAACGCUGGCGGUAGGCCUAACACAUGCAAGUCGAACGGCAGCACAGUAAGAGUUUGCCCUUACGGGUGGCGACUGGCGGACGGGUGACGAAUACAUCGGCAUCUUCUUUUUCUUGGGGGAUAACGUAGGGAAACUUACGCUAAUACCGCAUACGACCUACGGGUGAGAGCAGUAGUUCUUCGGACCUUUCGCGUUUGAUUGAGCCGAUGUCGGAUUAGCUAGUUGGCGGGGUAAAGGCCCACCAAGGCGACGAUCCGUAGCUGGUCUGAGAGGAUGAUCGGCCACACUGGAACUGAGACACGGUCCAGACUCCUACGGGAGGCAGCAGUAGGGAAUAUUGGGCAAUGGGCGCAAGCCUGAUCCAGCCAUACCGCGUGAGUGAUGAAGGCCUUCGGGUUGUAAAGCCCUUUUGUUGGGAAAGAAAAGAAGCAGGAUAAUACCCCGCUGUUCUGACGGUACCCAAAGAAUAAGCACCGGCUAACUUCGUG